GUAUCCUCCCAGAUGAGAUUGUUUUCAAGAGCAUUUAAAAUGUGGUGUCAGGUGAAUAAACCCACAAGUGUCAGUGUCUGUCACACAGCCUCAGACUAAAUACAGCCAGACCCCCCCAGACCCCCACCUCGAGGACCUAUAGGUAGCUUUGCACCUGGUCCCAUUGGGCCGCAGUUUUAAAUUCACUUCACUGCGAUUAAAAGUGGCACAUGGUCCACAAGCUUACACCUUGAAACCUCUUGAGAGGCAAGUGCAAUAAGCAGAUCAGUUUAUAGGCAUUGUCACCCUACUCACUCUAUACACCACCAUCUAAGAAUAAGCAACAGGUUUUAAGGGUCGGUUGCUGCCCCGGGGGGGUCUAAAUGAAAGUGUGUCAGUGUAUGUAUUUGUGGCAGCAAAUAUAGAGAGACCUCCUCUUCUCACCUCUGAGAAAGAGCUAAGAUUAGAAUCACCCUCUGCCCAGCAUGUAUCACUAUCUGAAUAUAGCCUGCUCCCCUUCUCAUGCCUGCUGGGUCUCACUCCGUCUGUCCUCUGCCCUGCCUCUAACUAUAUCCAGCCUUGUAUAGAUCUCCAAACACACUCCGGUUUCAAUCCACAGCUUUCCCUCAUAGGGUAUGGAGAGGGAGAGGAGAAGCCAUGCUUAAUUCUUGGGCUGCAGAUCACAGGUAAUCAUAUUCUUAAAACAUUAACAAACAAGCACGAAAAGGGUAUUGGCACAGUAUAUUAUGCCAUAUAUGUGCAUCUGACUUUAUUAGCCCAUCAGUGGACCUAUUGUGCUGUAGAAAUGUCUGAAAACAGUAAAAACAAAAACAAAAAAAAACAACAACAAGUAAACAAAAAAAAACACAUUUAGCAUGUAUCCACAGUUCAAAUACAGGAAUUAGCAAAUUAUUGACCCUUUUGCACCACUUUCUAAUAAAAACCACUUUUAUAAUUGCUUUAUAAUAUAUAAUAAUUACUUUGAGAUAAUAGCAUUGCUAAUGAGUGUUGCUUAUAAGCCUUUUACAGGACUCUUGCCGCAGGAAUAGCCCGGGUGUUUCUGAAACUUAUGGCUCUCUUCUACACAAGUGCACCACUUGCUAAUUCUUUACAUCAG
This is a long non-coding RNA of Astatotilapia calliptera (eastern happy), 1096 nucleotides long. NCBI's taxonomy places the organism in Eukaryota, Metazoa, Chordata, Actinopteri, Cichliformes, Cichlidae. The record is from Ensembl.